Molecule: ribosomal RNA, 253 nt
Filed under: uncultured bacterium
Lineage: Bacteria
Description: partial 16S ribosomal RNA
Rfam family: Bacterial small subunit ribosomal RNA
Source: RNAcentral
GACAGAGGGUGCAAACGUUGCUCGGAAUCACUGGGCGUAAAGGGCGUGUAGGCGGGAAGGAAAGUCGGGCGUGAAAUCCCUGGGCUCAACCCAGGAACUGCACUCGAAACUUCUUUUCUUGAGUGCCGGAGAGGAAAGCGGAAUUCCUGGUGUAGAGGUGAAAUUCGUAGAUAUCGGAAGGAACACCAGUGGCGAAAGCGGCUUCCUGGUCCAGCACCGACGUUCAGGCACGAAAGCGUGGGGAGCAAACAGG